AGUGGAUGGGGAGCAACCUAGUUGUGCGUGUGUAAAGGUAGUGCCAAGAAAAGCGAUGAUCAUGUUGAAAAUCAAUUCCCGGUACCCGAAACCGACACAGGUGGGCAAGUAGAGAAUACUAAGGGGCGCGAGGUAACUCUCUCCAAGGAACUCGGCAAAAUGACCCCGUAACUUAGGGAGAAGGGGUGCCACCGAGAGGUGGUCGCAGUGAAGAGGCCCAGGCGACUGUUUAGCAAAAACAUAGGUCUCUGCAAACUCGAAAGAGGAGGUAUAGGGGCUGACGCCUGCCCAGUGCCGGAAGGUUAAAGAAGUUGGUCAGUUUUAGGAUGAAGCUAGCGACUGAAGCCCCGGUGAACGGCGGCCGUAACUAUAACGGUCCUAAGGUAGCGAAAUUCCUUGUCGGGUAAGUUCCGACCCGCACGAAAGGCGUAACGAUCUGGGCGCUGUCUCGGAGAGAGGCUCGGCGAAAUAGGAUUGUCUGUGAAGAUACGGACUACCUGCAUUUGGACAGAAAGACCCUAUGAAGCUUUACUAUAGCUUGGAAUUGUGUUCGGGCUUCCUGUGCGCAGGAUAGGUGGGAGGCGAAGAAGGUAUUCUUGUGGGGAUACUGGAGCCAACGGUGAGAUACCACUCUCAGGAGGCUAGAAUUCUAACUUAAUUAAGGACAGUUUCAGGUGGGUAGUUUGACUGGGGCGGUCGCCUCCAAAAAGGUAACGGAGGCGUACAAAGGUUCCCUCAGACUGGUUGGAAAUCAGUCGCAGAGUGCAAAGGCAGAAGGGAGCUUGACUGCGAGAAGUACAGUUCGAGCAGGGUGGAAACACGGUCUUAGUGAUCCGACGGUGCUGUGUGGAAGGGCCGUCGCUCAACGGAUAAAAGUUACUCUAGGAUAACAGGCUGAUCUCCCCCAAGAGUUCACAUCGACGGGGAGGUUUGGCACCUCGAUGUCGGCUCAUCGCAACCUGGGGCGGAAGUACGUCCCAAGGGUUGGGCUGUUCGCCCAUUAAAGCGGUACGUGAGCUGGGUUCAGAACGUCGUGAGACAGUUCGGUCCAUAUCCGAUGUAGGCGUGAGAAUAUUGAGAGGAGCCUUCCUUAGUACGAGAGGACCGGGAAGGACGCACCGCUGGUGUACCUGUUAUGAUGCCAAUUGUAAACGCAGGGUAGCCAAGUGCGGAGAGGAUAACCGCUGAAAGCAUCUAAGUGGGAAGCCCACCUCAAGAUGAGUAUUCUGGUGUAAGGUCACGGGAAGACGACCCGUAAAUAGGCACGAGGUGGAAGUGCAGAGAUGUAUGAAGCCGAAGUGUACUAAUAGACCGUCGGCUUGAACG
Molecule: ribosomal RNA, 1326 nt
Filed under: metagenome
Description: bacterial LSU rRNA
Rfam family: Bacterial large subunit ribosomal RNA
Source: RNAcentral